GUCUCCGUAGCUCAGCUGGAUAGAGCGUCCGCCUCCUAAGCGGAAGGCCGUGGGUUCGAAUCCCGCCGGGGACGCCA
RNAcentral lists this transfer RNA (77 nucleotides) under Clostridia bacterium. Its description in RNAcentral is "tRNA-Arg". It matches the Rfam family "tRNA". From Rfam's summary of the family: Transfer RNA (tRNA) molecules are approximately 80 nucleotides in length. Lineage: Bacteria; Bacillati; Bacillota; Clostridia. The record is from RNAcentral.